UACAGAGGGUGCAAGCGUUAAUCGGAUUUACUGGGCGUAAAGGGUGCGUAGGUGGUUAUGUAAGUGAGAUGUGAAAGCCCCGGGCUCAACCUGGGAACUGCAUCUUAUACUGUAUAGCUGGAGUGAAGUAGAGGGUAGUGGAAUUUCCGGUGUAGCGGUGAAAUGCGUAGAUAUCGGAAGGAACACCAGUGGCGAAGGCGGCUACCUGGACUUACACUGACACUGAGGCACGAAAGCGUGGGUAGCAAACAGG
RNAcentral lists this ribosomal RNA (253 nucleotides) under uncultured bacterium. RNAcentral's name for it is "partial 16S ribosomal RNA". It matches the Rfam family "Bacterial small subunit ribosomal RNA", at positions 524 to 776 of the family's 1533-position model. The record is from RNAcentral.